Molecule: ribosomal RNA, 253 nt
Filed under: uncultured bacterium
Lineage: Bacteria
Description: partial 16S ribosomal RNA
Rfam family: Bacterial small subunit ribosomal RNA
Source: RNAcentral
AACGUAGGAGACAAACGUUAUCCGGAGUUACUGGGCGUAAAGGGCGUGCAGGUGGUCUGUUAAGUCUGGCGUGAAAGCUCUCGGCUAAACCGGGAGAGGUCGUUGGAUACUGGCGGACUAGAGGACGGUAGAGGUGUGUGGAAUUCCGGGUGUAGUGGUGAAAUGCGUAGAGAUCCGGAGGAACACCAGAAGCGAAGGCGGCUCACUGGCCCGAUACUGACGCUGAGGCGCGAAAGCGUGGGGAGCAAACAGG